RNAcentral lists this non-coding RNA (166 nucleotides) under Bathycoccus prasinos. Lineage: Eukaryota; Viridiplantae; Chlorophyta; Mamiellophyceae; Mamiellales; Bathycoccaceae. The record is from RNAcentral.
AAAGAAAGGAGAGAAGGAAAAAAAUUUUCUCUCUCCUCUCUCCUCUUUUCACUUCUACCUUUUUUUCACUUCAAACCUUUUUUUCACUCAUCCCUCCUCGUUCGGCGGCUUCGUGUCGCAACGAGAAGAAAAGAGGAAGUUUGGCGAAAGGGAUAAAAGAAAAAAG